UACGUAGGGCGCAAGCGUUAUCCGGAAUUAUUGGGCGUAAAGAGCUUGUAGGCGGUUUGUCGCGUCUGCUGUGAAAAUCCGGGGCUCAACCCCGGACUUGCAGUGGGUACGGGCAGACUAGAGUGUGGUAGGGGAGACUGGAAUUCCUGGUGUAGCGGUGAAAUGCGCAGAUAUCAGGAGGAACACCGAUGGCGAAGGCAGGUCUCUGGGCCACUACUGACGCUGAGAAGCGAAAGCAUGGGGAGCGAACAGG
This 253-nucleotide ribosomal RNA is filed under the name uncultured bacterium. RNAcentral's name for it is "partial 16S ribosomal RNA". It matches the Rfam family "Bacterial small subunit ribosomal RNA", at positions 524 to 776 of the family's 1533-position model. The record is from RNAcentral.